This 2813-nucleotide ribosomal RNA is filed under the name Salmonella enterica subsp. enterica serovar Oslo. RNAcentral's name for it is "partial 23S ribosomal RNA". It matches the Rfam family "Bacterial large subunit ribosomal RNA". The record is from RNAcentral. Lineage: Bacteria; Pseudomonadati; Pseudomonadota; Gammaproteobacteria; Enterobacterales; Enterobacteriaceae.
GUUAAGCGACUAAGCGUACACGGUGGAUGCCCUGGCAGUCAGAGGCGAUGAAGGGCGUGCUAAUCUGCGAUAAGCGCCGGUAAGGUGAUAUGAACCGUUAUAACCGGCGAUACCCGAAUGGGGAAACCCAGUGUGACUCGUCACACUAUCAUUAACUGAAUCCAUAGGUUAAUGAGGCGAACCGGGGGAACUGAAACAUCUAAGUACCCCGAGGAAAAGAAAUCAACCGAGAUUCCCCCAGUAGCGGCGAGCGAACGGGGAGGAGCCCAGAGCCUGAAUCAGCAUGUGUGUUAGUGGAAGCGUCUGGAAAGGCGCGCGAUACAGGGUGACAGCCCCGUACACAAAAGCGCAUGUGUUGUGAGCUCGAUGAGUAGGGCGGGACACGUGGUAUCCUGUCUGAAUAUGGGGGGACCAUCCUCCAAGGCUAAAUACUCCUGACUGACCGAUAGUGAACCAGUACCGUGAGGGAAAGGCGAAAAGAACCCCGGCGAGGGGAGUGAAAAAGAACCUGAAACCGUGUACGUACAAGCAGUGGGAGCACCCUUUUGGGUGUGACUGCGUACCUUUUGUAUAAUGGGUCAGCGACUUAUAUUCUGUAGCAAGGUUAACCGAAUAGGGGAGCCGGAGGGAAACCGAGUCUUAAUUGGGCGUUAAGUUGCAGGGUAUAGACCCGAAACCCGGUGAUCUAGCCAUGGGCAGGUUGAAGGUUGGGUAACACUAACUGGAGGACCGAACCGACUAAUGUUGAAAAAUUAGCGGAUGACCUGUGGCUGGGGGUGAAAGGCCAAUCAAACCGGGAGAUAGCUGGUUCUCCCCGAAAGCUAUUUAGGUAGCGCCUCGUGAAUUCAUCUCCGGGGGUAGAGCACUGUUUCGGCUAGGGGGCCAUCCCGGCUUACCAACCCGAUGCAAACUGCGAAUACCGGAGAAUGUUAUCACGGGAGACACACGGCGGGUGCUAACGUCCGUCGUGAAGAGGGAAACAACCCAGACCGCCAGCUAAGGUCCCAAAGUCAUGGUUAAGUGGGAAACGAUGUGGGAAGGCCCAGACAGCCAGGAUGUUGGCUUAGAAGCAGCCAUCAUUUAAAGAAAGCGUAAUAGCUCACUGGUCGAGUCGGCCUGCGCGGAAGAUGUAACGGGGCUAAACCAUGCACCGAAGCUGCGGCAGCGACACUGUGUGUUGUUGGGUAGGGGAGCGUUCUGUAAGCCUGUGAAGGUGGCCUGUGAGGGUUGCUGGAGGUAUCAGAAGUGCGAAUGCUGACAUAAGUAACGAUAAAGCGGGUGAAAAGCCCGCUCGCCGGAAGACCAAGGGUUCCUGUCCAACGUUAAUCGGGGCAGGGUGAGUCGACCCCUAAGGCGAGGCCGAAAGGCGUAGUCGAUGGGAAACGGGUUAAUAUUCCCGUACUUGGUGUUACUGCGAAGGGGGGACGGAGAAGGCUAUGUUGGCCGGGCGACGGUUGUCCCGGUUUAAGCGUGUAGGUGUGUGUUCCAGGUAAAUCCGGUUCACUUUAACACUGAGGCGUGACGACGAGGCACUACGGUGCUGAAGCAACAAAUGCCCUGCUUCCAGGAAAAGCCUCUAAGCAUCAGGUAACAUCAAAUCGUACCCCAAACCGACACAGGUGGUCAGGUAGAGAAUACCAAGGCGCUUGAGAGAACUCGGGUGAAGGAACUAGGCAAAAUGGUGCCGUAACUUCGGGAGAAGGCACGCUGACACGUAGGUGAAGUGAUUUACUCAUGGAGCUGAAGUCAGUCGAAGAUACCAGCUGGCUGCAACUGUUUAUUAAAAACACAGCACUGUGCAAACACGAAAGUGGACGUAUACGGUGUGACGCCUGCCCGGUGCCGGAAGGUUAAUUGAUGGGGUCAGCGCAAGCGAAGCUCCUGAUCGAAGCCCCGGUAAACGGCGGCCGUAACUAUAACGGUCCUAAGGUAGCGAAAUUCCUUGUCGGGUAAGUUCCGACCUGCACGAAUGGCGUAAUGAUGGCCAGGCUGUCUCCACCCGAGACUCAGUGAAAUUGAACUCGCUGUGAAGAUGCAGUGUACCCGCGGCAAGACGGAAAGACCCCGUGAACCUUUACUAUAGCUUGACACUGAACAUUGAGCCUUGAUGUGUAGGAUAGGUGGGAGGCUUUGAAGUGUGGACGCCAGUCUGCAUGGAGCCGACCUUGAAAUACCACCCUUUAAUGUUUGAUGUUCUAACGUGGACCCGUAAUCCGGGUUGCGGACAGUGUCUGGUGGGUAGUUUGACUGGGGCGGUCUCCUCCUAAAGAGUAACGGAGGAGCACGAAGGUUGGCUAAUCCUGGUCGGACAUCAGGAGGUUAGUGCAAUGGCAUAAGCCAGCUUGACUGCGAGCGUGACGGCGCGAGCAGGUGCGAAAGCAGGUCAUAGUGAUCCGGUGGUUCUGAAUGGAAGGGCCAUCGCUCAACGGAUAAAAGGUACUCCGGGGAUAACAGGCUGAUACCGCCCAAGAGUUCAUAUCGACGGCGGUGUUUGGCACCUCGAUGUCGGCUCAUCACAUCCUGGGGCUGAAGUAGGUCCCAAGGGUAUGGCUGUUCGCCAUUUAAAGUGGUACGCGAGCUGGGUUUAGAACGUCGUGAGACAGUUCGGUCCCUAUCUGCCGUGGGCGCUGGAGAACUGAGGGGGGCUGCUCCUAGUACGAGAGGACCGGAGUGGACGCAUCACUGGUGUUCGGGUUGUCAUGCCAAUGGCACUGCCCGGUAGCUAAAUGCGGAAGAGAUAAGUGCUGAAAGCAUCUAAGCACGAAACUUGCCCCGAGAUGAGUUCUCCCUGAGACUUAGAGUCUCCUGAAGGA